AACACAUCACUCCAUCUCGUCGGCUGAUGUCCUCUCCGACGCUUUCACGCCGCUCGGCUGCCACUCGGUUAUUAUUCUUGGCCGUGGUCCACCAUCCCCUCCAGCGAUGUGUCCUGCCCAAACCCACCUUCGUAAUAGUUUGGAUAGUGUCAUUAGCCUCUGCACGAUCCUGACCAACGUGUUCUUCUUUAAGUCUCUCGGUGUAAUCCCAAGCGUGCCUUUCCCCACGCGCAUCUGCGCACUCUGCCGACGUCGUUCUGCCGUUUUCGUUCGUGGCCGCGUCUCUGGUCCAUUCAGUCGGAGCACGGAGUGCGCACAGGCUACGCAGCUUUCUUACUGAGGCACACUGGCGGGUUCCUUUGAAUCAUACCUUCGAAGAAAGUCUAUCGGUGCUUCGCAUCAUCGUCGUCAUUAUUAUUAUUAUUACUACUACAUGUCCCAGAGCGCAAGGAAGGCCUCACAUAGUCUCACAACUCUCGCCCAAGAGGGAUAUAAAAGAGAAUAUAAAGAUUCCAGAGAGGAAGGUGCCUGAGUCGGGAAUCAAACAUAACGGCCGUUCACCGAUGACAAAUCAUCAAAAAAUGAGACUAAGCAGAAGUCGAAGUGGCGAUGAAAAAUAGAAAACGGUUUCGCCCUGCGAUGGCUCCCACGCCACUGCCUGACCGUAGGGCCUCCACCAAAGUGAACUCCCGAGGCGAUUUGGUCUUCUCUUCCGUGUUGACGAGACAUGUUGGAAGAGGUAUGAGCACCCCCAACACUUUACAUCACCACGCGCAACCUGCUGAUUUA
Molecule: long non-coding RNA, 789 nt
Organism: Petromyzon marinus (sea lamprey)
Lineage: Eukaryota; Metazoa; Chordata; Hyperoartia; Petromyzontiformes; Petromyzontidae
Source: RefSeq, a predicted model, not a curated record